ACUUUUUCCUAAAAUAACUAAUCCAAAUCCCAUGAAAUCACGUCUCUCCCCAAAAUCUAAAAGACCUACACUAAUCCUAUUUCCCCAUCCCUCACGUCCUCUUUGCCCUUCAAAUCCUCAACCAAAACCAAUCUCUUAAGCCCUACUCCCUUAAAAUUCUCAACAAAACUUAUCCUCCAAUUCUCCUACUCCUUCACGUCCCUAUUUUCACUAGCACACACUUGCACAAGACCCACAAACCUCACCUAUAUAAAACACGCACAAAAACACCAAACAAAAUAUAUACAUCCACAAACACAUAUACAAAAAACACAGAGAACAAAAAAAGGAAAAAACAUAGAGUAAAAACUCAAAGAAGAACACAGAUGGAGAAAAAGAAACGGAGAAGCAAAAUAAAAACACUAAGGAAACAAAAUGGAAAGAACUUGGCCGUGAAACACCACCAAAAUGCCACCGAAAAUCACUGCCAGAGUGAGGUAUCGUUCGAGUUUAUCGGUUCGAGGUUCUAGUCAAUAGCUCGUUUGAGGAUUCCAGUUUUUGAGUUCUGCUUUCAUUGUGCACUGCAAUAUUGACAUAGAAGGGGUGUGACAACAAUGAGUUCUAUUUCGGAGGUACUACGGGGGGACCGAGUAAUGCUACUACGCAGUUGCAGAAUUUGGAUUGUAAUGUCUGACACCCUUCACAUCCAGGUCCAAGUGAAUUGGACAGUGAUAGUCCAUUAGAUCACGAAGGGAUGGAUGAUGAUCAAUCGUCUGCUGAUGAUGACAAUUCUGAUGAAGACGUUGCGGCCCCCGAUGGUCUUAGUGUUAAUUAUCAUUCAAAUGUGAUCCUAUAUUUGGAUAAUACAGAAGAAGAAGGACCGGAAGAUUUUGCAAACAUGAGAGAUAACGGGUCUGUUCGGGCUGCACUUUGAACUUAAAGUUAUCAAAUCAGUAUCAGGUUGGGUCUGCUUCCAUCUCUUGUGGCUGAUAGUCGCCUUCAACAUAGGUUUGAGUUUCUAGGGUGAGCACGAGACGUUCGCUGCCUUGAAGAUUCUUCCUAUUUAUGUCUUACUAUUUCUAUUCUGAGACAUAGACAGAUUUAUGUAUUAUUAUAUUCCAGACUUGUAUAUUUUUCAUUAAAUGCUUUUGUAUGGCUUAGACCAGACCCUGGGGGUAUUUUUCUUACUUCCGCGCUAUUUCUAUUAUUUAUUAUUGUGAGACUU
Long non-coding RNA from Lycium barbarum (goji berry), 1204 nucleotides. RefSeq lists it as uncharacterized. The transcript is spliced from 4 exons. NCBI's taxonomy places the organism in Eukaryota, Viridiplantae, Streptophyta, Magnoliopsida, Solanales, Solanaceae. The record is from RefSeq and is a predicted model, not a curated record.